Molecule: ribosomal RNA, 479 nt
Filed under: uncultured organism
Description: partial 16S ribosomal RNA
Rfam family: Bacterial small subunit ribosomal RNA
Source: RNAcentral
GUACACUCCUACGGGAGGCAGCAGUGGGGAAUUUUGGACAAUGGGCGAAAGCCUGAUCCAGCAAUGCCGCGUGUGUGAAGAAGGCCUUCGGGUUGUAAAGCACUUUUGUCCGGAAAGAAAUCCUUGGCUCUAAUACAGUCGAGGGAUGACGGUACCGGAAGAAUAAGCACCGGCUAACUACGUGCCAGCAGCCGCGGUAAUACGUAGGGUGCGAGCGUUAAUCGGAAUUACUGGGCGUAAAGCGUGCGCAGGCGGUUUGCUAAGACCGAUGUGAAAUCCCCGGGCUCAACCUGGGAACUGCAUUGGUGACUGGCAGGCUAGAGUAUGGCAGAGGGGGGUAGAAUUCCACGUGUAGCAGUGAAAUGCGUAGAGAUGUGGAGGAAUACCGAUGGCGAAGGCAGCCCCCUGGGCCAAUACUGACGCUCAUGCACGAAAGCGUGGGGAGCAAACAGGAUUAGAAACCCCGGUAGUCCCAUGAU